AGAGUACGUGAAACCGUUCAGGGGUAAACCUGAGAAACCCGAAAGGUCGAAAGGGGAAAUUCAUUCGCGUUUCGGCCGUUGGCGUUGGAUGGUCGAGUGACGGAUGGCGUACGCGUCGUCCGCGCCUUCCUUCUUUCGAACCGACGUCGAACGCGUGCACUUUUCCCCUAGUAGGACGUCGCGAUCCGUUGGGUGUCGGUCUAAGACCCGUGGUGGAGCCCGCGAGGACGUUUCGGCGUUCUCCGGACCCACGGUGUUCCGGCCGACCCGCUCGACGGUAUACAGAUGGCGCGGGGCCGCUACUCAGUUAGCGUUCGGCCUGCGGCAAGCGCGUUCGGCGUUUGACUUUGAUCGGACCUGGUUGCCGGUCUUGUCCACGAACGACUGUUGGCCGUGGUGUUCUCGAACAGACCUCGUUUGAAACGCCGAUCUGCGACGCUAUAGCUUUGGGUACUUUCAGGACCCGUCUUGAAACACGGACCAAGGAGUCUAGCAUGUGCGCGAGUCAUUGGGACAUAACUAAACCUAAAGGCGCAAUGAAAGUGAAGGUCCGCCUUGCGCGGACCGAGGGAGGAUGGGCGGUUUGCCCUUAAAAGCGGCCGCUCCGCACUCCCGGGGCGUCUCGUUCUCAUUGCGAGAAGA
Molecule: ribosomal RNA, 642 nt
Filed under: Leptura modicenotata
Lineage: Eukaryota; Metazoa; Arthropoda; Insecta; Coleoptera; Cerambycidae
Also listed under: 1 other name
Description: partial large subunit ribosomal RNA
Rfam family: Eukaryotic large subunit ribosomal RNA
Source: RNAcentral